Molecule: ribosomal RNA, 253 nt
Filed under: uncultured bacterium
Lineage: Bacteria
Description: partial 16S ribosomal RNA
Rfam family: Archaeal small subunit ribosomal RNA
Source: RNAcentral
UACCAGCACCCCGAGUGGUCGGGACGUUUAUUGGGCCUAAAGCAUCCGUAGCCGGUUCUACAAGUCUUCCGUUAAAUCCAACUGCUUAACAGGUGGGCUGCGGAAGAUACUAUAGAGCUAGGAGGCGGGAGAGGCAAGCGGUACUCGAUGGGUAGGGGUAAGAUCCGUUGAUCCAUUGAAGACCACCAGUGGCGAAGGCGGCUUGCCAGAACGCGCUCGACGGUGAGGGAUGAAAGCUGGGGGAGCAAACAGG